RNAcentral lists this ribosomal RNA (433 nucleotides) under uncultured bacterium. Its description in RNAcentral is "partial 16S ribosomal RNA". It matches the Rfam family "Bacterial small subunit ribosomal RNA", at positions 29 to 507 of the family's 1533-position model. The record is from RNAcentral.
AACGAACGCUGGCGGCAUGCCUAACACAUGCAAGUCGAACGAGACCUUCGGGUCUAGUUGCGCACGGGUGCGUAACGCGUGGGAACCUGCCCUUAGGUUCGGAAUAACUCCCCGAAAGGGGUGCUAAUACCGGUUAAUGUCUUCGGACCAAAGAUUUAUCGCCUUUGGAUGGGCCCGCGUUGGAUUAGCUAGUUGGUAGGGUAAAAGCCUACCAUGGCGACGAUCCAUAGCUGGUGUGAGAGGAUGAUCAGCCACACUGGGACUGAGACACGGCCCAGACUCGUACGGGAGGAAGCAGUGGGGAAUAUUGGACAAUGGGCGAAAGCCUGAUACAGCAAUGCCGCGUGAGUGAUGAAGGCCUUAGGGUUGUAAAGCUCUUUUACCCGGGAUGAUAAUGACAGUACCGGGGGAAUAAGCCCCGGCUAACUCCGUG